CAGUCGCCACGGGAAUGCGAAGGGUGCAAGCGUUAAUCGGAAUUACUGGGCGUAAAGCGUGCGUAGGCGGUUUGUUAAGUCUGUUGUGGAAUCCCCGGGCUCAACCUGGGAAUGGCAAUGGAUACUGGCAAGCUAGAGUGUGUCAGAGGAUGGUGGAAUUCCCGGUGUAGCGGUGAAAUGCGUAGAGAUCGGGAGGAACAUCAGUGGCGAAGGCGGCCAUCUGGGACAACACUGACGCUGAGGCACGAAAGCGUGGGGAGCAAACAGGAUUAGAUACCCCCGUAGUCCCUGUCUCUUAUAA
RNAcentral lists this ribosomal RNA (301 nucleotides) under uncultured bacterium. RNAcentral's name for it is "partial 16S ribosomal RNA". It matches the Rfam family "Bacterial small subunit ribosomal RNA", at positions 509 to 809 of the family's 1533-position model. The record is from RNAcentral.